UUGACCUCAAAUCAGGUAGGACUACCCGCUGAACUUAAGCAUAUCAAUAAGCGGAGGAAAAGAAACUAACAAGGAUUCCCCUAGUAACUGCGAGUGAAGCGGGAAAAGCUCAAAUUUAAAAUCUGGCGGUCUUUGGCUGUCCGAGUUGUAAUCUAGAGAAGUGCUAUCCGCGCUGGACCGUGUAAAAAGUCCUCCUGAA
Molecule: ribosomal RNA, 199 nt
Filed under: Collybia mongolica
Lineage: Eukaryota; Fungi; Basidiomycota; Agaricomycetes; Agaricales; Clitocybaceae
Description: Leucocalocybe mongolica partial 28S ribosomal RNA
Rfam family: Eukaryotic large subunit ribosomal RNA
Source: RNAcentral